CAAGUCGAGGGGUAUAUGGUGCUUGCAUCAUAGAGACCGGCGCGCGGGUGCGUAACGCGUAUGCAAUCUACCUUUCACAGGAGAAUAGCCCAGAGAAAUUUGGAUUAAUGCUCCAUGGUAUUGAGAUAUCACCUGAUAUUUUAAUUAAAACUACGGUGGUGGAAGAUGAGCAUGCGUCUUAUUAGCUAGUUGGUACGGUAACGGCGUACCAAGGCAACGAUAAGUAGGGGUCCUGAGAGGGAGAUCCCCCACACUGGUACUGAGACACGGACCAGACUCCUACGGGGAGGCAGCAGUGGAGGAAUAUUGGACAAUGGGCGCAAGCCUGAUCCAGCCAUGCCGCGUGCAGGAAGACUGCCCUAUGGGUUGUAAACUGCUUUUAUACAGGAAGAAUAAGGAGUACGUGUACUUUGAUGACGGUACUGUAUGAAUAAGCAUCGGCUAACUCCGUGCCAGCAGCCGCGGUAAUACGGAGGAUGCAAGCGUUAUCCGGAAUCAUUGGGUUUAAAGGGUCCGUAGGCGGAUUAAUAAGUCAGUGGUGAAAGUCUGCCGCUCAACGGUAGAAUUGCCAUUGAUACUGUUAGUCUUGAAU
This 592-nucleotide ribosomal RNA is filed under the name obligately oligotrophic bacteria POC-121. Its description in RNAcentral is "bacterial SSU rRNA". It matches the Rfam family "Bacterial small subunit ribosomal RNA", at positions 58 to 647 of the family's 1533-position model. Lineage: Bacteria; Pseudomonadati; Bacteroidota. The record is from RNAcentral.